RNAcentral lists this small RNA (105 nucleotides) under Mycobacterium sp. RNAcentral's name for it is "Guanidine-I sequence". It matches the Rfam family "Guanidine-I riboswitch aptamer". From Rfam's summary of the family: This family represents a conserved RNA structure found upstream of the ykkC and yxkD genes in Bacillus subtilis and related genes in other bacteria. The function of this family is unclear although it has been suggested that it may function to switch on efflux pumps and detoxification systems in response to harmful environmental molecules. Nelson showed that this riboswitch senses and responds to guanidine and it was renamed Guanidine-I riboswitch. The record is from RNAcentral. Lineage: Bacteria; Bacillati; Actinomycetota; Actinomycetes; Mycobacteriales; Mycobacteriaceae. RNAcentral also lists the same sequence under 1 other name.
GUGAGGCGCGUCUAGGGUUCCGCCGGUCGCCGGGUCUGGUCCGAGAGACGCAGGCGGUCCGCUACGCGGCAGACCGUUCCACGGCGGGACAAAAACCCGGGAGGC